UGCACUCUAAUACAUCUUCUUCAACAAAGACAUGAUGGCUGAAGGGACAAGAGAAGACUGAAGAAAAGGAAGUAGUGCCCUCAACCAGCAGAGAACAGGACACAUCAUGUUAGAGCUGUA
Cygnus olor (mute swan) is the source of this 120-nucleotide long non-coding RNA. RefSeq lists it as uncharacterized. The transcript has 3 exons. The record is from RefSeq and is a predicted model, not a curated record. NCBI's taxonomy places the organism in Eukaryota, Metazoa, Chordata, Aves, Anseriformes, Anatidae.